GAUAGAUGGCUGAGUGGUCGAAAGCACUGGUCUUGAAAACCAGCGAGGGCGUAAGUCUUCCGGGGGUUCGAAUCCCUCUCUAUCC
Molecule: transfer RNA, 85 nt
Filed under: pig gut metagenome
Rfam family: tRNA
About the family: Transfer RNA (tRNA) molecules are approximately 80 nucleotides in length. Their secondary structure includes four short double-helical elements and three loops (D, anti-codon, and T loops). Further hydrogen bonds mediate the characteristic L-shaped molecular structure. tRNAs have two regions of fundamental functional importance: the anti-codon, which is responsible for specific mRNA codon recognition, and the 3' end, to which the tRNAs corresponding amino acid is attached (by aminoacyl-tRNA synthetases). tRNAs cope with the degeneracy of the genetic code in two manners: having more than one tRNA (with a specific anti-codon) for a particular amino acid; and 'wobble' base-pairing, i.e. permitting non-standard base-pairing at the 3rd anti-codon position.
Source: RNAcentral